RNA transcript from Populus nigra (black poplar), 2531 nucleotides. RefSeq lists it as uncharacterized. The record is from RefSeq and is a predicted model, not a curated record. The transcript has 15 exons. Lineage: Eukaryota; Viridiplantae; Streptophyta; Magnoliopsida; Malpighiales; Salicaceae.
AAUAAAAAACCCCUAAGCAGUGUGCAAGGAUAUGGGAAAAGGGCGGCUACCACUAGAAAUAUCGCCGCUGGAUCGCGGCAUUCAAUUUUUGGAGGCACUUUUUCUUUCUUUGACAUUUCUCUUCGAACAUACCCUAACAAUGGAGCACAAUCUCUGAAAUCCACUUGCCAAUCCAUGGCUUUCUUUCGAAGGCUUCUCCCUCUCCCCUCCUCCCUUCUAAGGACGAAUAUUUCUUCCAUUACUGGAAUUCGAGAAGGUCUGGGAGGAAGCUUUCGGAGCUACAAUGCAGUUGCGUCAACUGAACAAACAGUUUUGAAAUUGGAUAAGGUAGAUGGUUUGGUUCUUGAUGGUGAAGUAGCAAAAAUUCGGGGCGAGUUUGAAGCAGCAAAGCAGGGUUUUUUGAGGAUUCCUGAGGCUGUCAAGGGAAUGCCAAAAAUGAACCCUGAAGGCAUAUAUGUGAAUAAGAACCUGAGAUUGGACAAUAUUCAAGUUUAUGGAUUUGAUUAUGACUAUACGUUGGCACAUUACUCUCCUAACUUGCAACAAUUGAUAUAUGAUCUUGCAAAAGAGCAUAUGGUUAAUGAGGUUAGAUUGAACUUUCGUUUUUUGCUGUUUUAUAAAUUUUAUCUUAUGUGGAAUUCUGUGAUAAGUGUUGCAUCUUGGUUUAUUUUUUGGCAGUUUAGAUACCCUGAGACAUGCUUGAAAUUCAGAUAUGAUCAAACCUUUCCCAUUAGAGGCCUAUCCUAUGACAAGAAAAAUGGAUGUCUCUUGAAGUUGGAUUUCUUUGGGUCAAUUGAGCCAGAUGGAUGCUACUUUGGGCGUCGCAAGCUCAACAGGAAGGAAAUAGAACAGAUAUAUGGCACAAGACAUAUUGGUCGUGACCAAGCACGUGGGCUUGUUGGCUUGAUGGAUUUCUUUUGCUUUAGUGAGGCUUGCCUUCUUGCAGAUGUUGUACAACAUUUUGUUGAUGCUAAACUGGAAUUUGAUGCAACUUACAUAUAUCAAGAUGUAGAUCGUGCAAUUCAGCAUGUUCAUCGCAGUGGGUUGGUUCACAGAGGAAUUCUUUCUGAUCCUUACAGAUACCUUGUAAAAAAUGGCCGAGUACUUCGCUUUCUUACAAUGCUAAGAGAGAAGGGAAAGAAGCUUUUCUUGCUCACUAACUCUCCUUACAAUUUUGUGGAUGGAGGGAUGCGCUUUAUGCUGGAGGAUUCUUUGGGUUACAGAGACUCUUGGAGGGAGCUUUUUGAUGUUGUUAUUGCCAAAGCCAAUAAGCCAGAGUUUUACACUUCGGAGCAUCCCUUUCGCUAUUAUGACAUGGAGAAGGACACCCUAGCUUUCAAUAAGGUGGAUGCGUUUCUUCCGAAUAAAAUUUAUUACCAUGGAUCACUGAAAUCGUUUCUCCAAAUUACCAAGUGGAAUGGUCCAGAGGUGAUUUAUUUUGGUGAUCACCUCUUUAGUGACCUAAGGGGGCCUUCAAAGGCUGGUUGGCGCACUGCUGCUAUAAUCCAUGAACUAGAAAAUGAAAUACGAAUUCAGAAUGAUGAUAAUUAUCGUUUUGAACAGGCAAAAUUUCAUAUCAUACAAGAACUGCUUGGUAAACUACAUGCAACUGUUGCAAAUAGUCAGAGAAGUGAAGUGUGUCAGUUGCUUUCAGAGGAGCUAAAUGAUGAGAGGCUAAAGGCAAGGCAGAAGAUGAAAAAAAUGUUUAACAAGUCUUUUGGAGCAACUUUCCUAACUGACAAAGGUCAAGAAUCAGCUUUUGCGUACUACAUCCAUCAAUAUGCAGAUGUCUAUACAAGCAAGCCUGAGAACUUUUUGCUCUAUCCGCCUGAAGCAUGGCUUCAUGUACCCUUUGAUAUCAAGAUCAUGCCACAUCAUGUGAAGGUUCCAUCAAGCUUAUUUAAGAAUCAAUAGAUUCUCAUUUUCAACAUGGUUAUCUUGGGCUGGUUUUGCGAAUAUUCAGCAAGUGACUCACAUUUUUGGAUGAUGACACUAAAGUUUGUUCAGAUAAUGAUGUUUCAGCAACGAGGACAUGGGAGUACCCUUUCAGUUAUUUCAAUAGGACUAGGCAGUCAAUUUUUUUAAUAAAUAAAGCUGAUUAUUUGACCUCUUUAUACACGAGUGCAGUUGGUGGUAGAAAUUGCGUUGUUCUUUUGCUGUAGUUUCAGAACCAAUUAUAUAAUAAGAGGGACUUGUGCCUUGAACUGCAACUCGGUAUACAGUUGAAGCCGGAACGAGAUUGUUUCCCCUGACACUUGAAAUCCUGUAGUAAGAUUUAUUAUCUCCGAUGGUUGUGUAGUUGGGCACUCUAAUCCUAUCUAGUUACUAUAUGCCUAACAUGUGGUUUUAUGAGCAAUCUGGCGUGGAUAUACGGGAGAAGGUUAGGCACCGAAGUUGUCAGCUGUAUUUCCUAAACUUGCACGCGCACGGCAACCCAACAAAGGGCAGAAGGCUUGAGCAGCCAGCAUUAUUAGAUAUCCUUUGGAUGGUAUCGGCUAAAUAAUGAGCUGUCCUUGAUUUUUAUUAGGCAA